CUAACUUUUUAGACAUCGUAUUGAAACGUGUGAUAGAGAUCUAACACGUGUUUCUACCAAAUCUCCACGAGCUUAGACUUAUGGCAGUUUCGAGAAACUAGCACUCGCUCUGAAUCUGGCGCAUCCACGGCCACGCUGGAAGCUCGGAUCUGACCGCCUGCGAUGCAUGCCCCGGACGCGACGGCAGCCCGCUCUCGAGCUAACUCUCCAUCGUAUCGUGCAGCUGUCUUUCUUCUCUUUCACGAACACGGUUGCCCGACUGAAACAACUAGACCACAUUAGUAUCCUGACAUCAAGAUAGGUCUCUAUUAUGUGCCCAUCCGUCUGAUUAAGUCUUCUUUGGAGCAAACUGUCAGACAUUUGCGGUAGUAUACAGCUGAAAUGGAAUUUCCGUUCAACCAAACAGUAUACUUCAAGGCUAUUUCUCAGCGACGAGGGUUAGCUCCAGGUAGCAGUAGCAGGCUGGAAGUAACACACAUGUGCAGUGUUUCAGUCGAAAACGAAUACCACCCAUUCAAAAUCGGUUAUAGGAUCUUGUCCAUAUGUCCAUAUUUUUGUAUGCAUGUGAAACAUGGACCAUGACAGCAGACAUUAAAAGAAGGAUACAGGCACUGGAGAUGAAAUGUUUCCGCAAACUCCUCAGUAUCUGGUAUAGAGAUCACAUAACCAACGAGGUAGUGAAAAUCAGAAUUGGAAACACCAUAGGGCCGUAUGAAGACCUCCUGACUUCAGUGAAAAGAUGCAAAGUAAAGUGGUAUGGGUAUGUCACAUGAUCAUUUGGACUGGCCAAGACUAUUCUACAUGGAACAGUACAAGGAGGGAGACGAAAAGGCAGGCAGAGGAAACGAUGGGAAGACAACAUUAACGAGUGACCUUGACUGAAACAUCAUACUUCGUAAAGCCAAGAACCACGAGGAGUGGAGGAAGCUGGUAGUAUAAAUCUUCAGUGGUGCCCCAAGGGUCAGCCAGACUGUGGGAUAGGUGAAGGUGAAGGUGAAGGAAGCUAAGAAUCAGAUAGUUAGACAUUAUAUUGGAUCAUUUAUCCUUUCCUUCAAAAGGAAUGUUGCUUUAUACUGUAGCACAUAAACAAUGCUUUUUUAUUGGCAAUAUUUCAGUUCAGUACGCUUGUUAUUAAUUUCAUCAAACAUUAAAAUGUAAAAGGGAGAAACACUGUCAUUUGAAAAUCAAAAUGUAAGUCAUAAAAAUUUCACUGUCUAACUAUCUGAAUCUUGUCAGGAUCCAUGUACGAGUUAGUGCAAUUCUUUUCUCUUCACUACAACCGCAUUGAUUUACUUUAAUAGCAUGUUACUAGGUACAUCAAUUGAUGAGAAAAAGCAGCAAAACGCUUUAAAUUUGUUGUAGUCUUAAAAUUAAAGUUGGAAGUUUCCUAAAAAGGGAAUUUUAGAACACUCCUUCAACUGACAUGCACGGAUGUUAUACUUAUGAAUUUCCAUACAUUAAUGUCUUUGUAAUGCAUGUUACCAAACAAAAAAAAGUAUCAUCAACCAUUCUUGUCAUUUCCUGUGCAAUUAUUUUCACAUCCUGGCUUAACAGUACAUAAACAGUGCUCUUUUAUUUUCAAUAUUUCAGAAAAAUGCAUUUGCAUUAUGAUACAUGCAGGUAUAGUUGGUCAAGUAAGAAUAUAUUUACAGCAUGCUCACUAUGAAUUGAUUAAAUCGCCAUUGAAUCUAAAAGGUAUGUUAUACCUCAUUGUAUAUUCAGAAGGAAAAAGUGUGAGGAUAGCUUUAAAAAAAAAAAAAAUCAUGAGUAUCCAUAAUGAUGUGAAUAUGUACAUGUUUGUUUGUUGCAUAUGAUUCUUCCUUGGUAUCAAAGCUGUAAUAAUUGCAUAUUUAUGAUUCAGCAUAAUACUUUGUUCAUUACAAAAAAAAAUAUGUCAUAAUUUUCCAAAACGGUAGUGUAAAGAAUAAUGUAAGAUUGAGGUAAGAUUGUUACAUAUAUUCUCUAUACGUAUCAACUAAAAUGUAAGUUUUCAAAUGAGAUACUAUUUUGUCCCCAGAUGAAAUAAGUAAUGGAUCUUUUUUGUUAAAUGUCAGCAAAUGAUCUAAAUGAACAUGUGUUCGGGUAUAUCAAAUCUUGUACAUGUAGUUUCUAUAGCUAAUAUAGUUUGGAGGACUUAAAGAUAGAAAAACUGCUGAUUGAUUAAUUACCAUUGUUUGUAUUGUUCACUAUAACCAGCAAGUAAAGGGACAUUUAGUAGAUGCCAAGAAAGUAUUUCCAAAGCAAUUACAUUUCUCUUAUCCUGUAAUGUAUUUUUUGCGUCAAUAAAAGCAAAUGUGAGGGUUGUCCACAUAACAUCACAACUACAGAACAGUUUAAUUGAAAUUAACAUACAUAUUACAUGUAUAUAUGUGUAUUAUGGAAUAACUUAGAAUAUUUCAUAAUUUGUUAUUAUUAUCCAGUUCAUUACAUUUUUACCAAUGUAUUUCUUCAAUAUUUCUACUUUUCCUCAGAGCAUAUGCUGUGAACUAAUGGAUAUUCCUUGUCAGUUCCAUCAUGUUAUGUCAAUGGGCUUACACUGUAUGCGUGUACAUGUCCUUUUUGCAAUGUACAUGUGCUACGAAAAUGUCAACAAUAUUGUUUGAGAUAUAAAAUAUAGAGUUAACAAGUGAAUUAUUCA
This 2638-nucleotide long non-coding RNA is filed under the name Strongylocentrotus purpuratus (purple sea urchin). RNAcentral describes it as "uncharacterized LOC115926042". Lineage: Eukaryota; Metazoa; Echinodermata; Echinoidea; Camarodonta; Strongylocentrotidae. The record is from RNAcentral.